Molecule: ribosomal RNA, 407 nt
Filed under: uncultured bacterium
Lineage: Bacteria
Description: partial 16S ribosomal RNA
Rfam family: Bacterial small subunit ribosomal RNA
Source: RNAcentral
GACGAACGCUGGCGGCGUGCCUAAUACAUGCAAGUCGAGCGGAGCGGCGGACGGGUGAGUAAUGCCUAGGAAUCUGCCUGGUAGUGGGGGAUAACGUCCGGAAACUGGCGCUAAUACCGCAUACUCUAAGAUGAGCCUAGGUCGGAUGAGCUAGUUGGUGGGGUAAAGGCCUACCAAGGCGACGAUCCGUAACUGGUCUGAGAGGAUGAUCAGUCACCAUGGAACUGGGACACGGUCCAGAUUCCUACGGGAGGCAGCAGUGGGGAAUAUUGGACAAUGGGCGAAAGCCUUAUCCAGCCAUGCCGCGUGGGUGAAGAAGGUCUUCGGAUUGUAAAGCACUUUAAGUUGGGAGGCGUUACCAACAGAAUAAGCACCGGCUAACUUCGUGCCAGCAGCCGCGGUAAUAC